CGUAGGGUGCGAGCGUUAAUCGGAAUUACUGGGCGUAAAGCGUGCGCGGGCGGUUUAGUAAGACAGGCGUGAAAUCCCCGGGCUCAACCUGGGAACUGCGCUUGUGACUGCCAAGCUAGAGUACGGCAGAGGGGGUGGAAUUCCACGUGUAGCAGUGAAAUGCGUAGAGAUGUGGAGGAACACCAAUGGCGAAGGCAGCCCCCUGGGUCGAUACUGACGCUCAUGCACGAAAGCGUGGGUAGCAAACAGGAUUAGAUACCCUGGUAGUCCACGCCCUAAACGAUGUCAACUAGGUGUUGGGAGGGUAAAACCUUUAGUACCGGAGCUAACGCGUGAAGUUGACCGCCUGGGGAGUACGGCCGCAAGGUUA
Molecule: ribosomal RNA, 370 nt
Filed under: uncultured organism
Description: bacterial SSU rRNA
Rfam family: Bacterial small subunit ribosomal RNA
Source: RNAcentral